AGAUUGAACGCUGGCGGCAGGCCUAACACAUGCAAGUCGAGCGGUAGAGAGGUGCUUGCACCUCUUGAGAGCGGCGGACGGGUGAGUAAUGCCUAGGAAUCUGCCUAGUGGUGGGGGAUAACGUUCGGAAACGGACGCUAAUACCGCAUACGUCCUACGGGAGAAAGCGGGGGACCUUCGGGCCUCGCGCCAUUAGAUGAGCCUAGGUCGGAUUAGCUAGUUGGUGAGGUAAUGGCUCACCAAGGCGACGAUCCGUAACUGGUCUGAGAGGAUGAUCAGUCACACUGGAACUGAGACACGGUCCAGACUCCUACGGGAGCAGCAGUGGGAAUAUGGACAAUGGGCAAAGCCUGAUCCGAGCCAUGCCGCGUGUGUGAAGAAGGUCCUUCGGAUUGUAAAAGCGUACUUUAAGGUUGGGUAGGAAGGGUUUGUAAACUUUAAGUACGGUUUGACCUAAACGUUUGAACGUUUAACCGACAAGAAUAAGCAACCGGCUUAAACGUUCGUACGACCUACGCGAGCCCGG
This 526-nucleotide ribosomal RNA is filed under the name uncultured soil bacterium. RNAcentral's name for it is "bacterial SSU rRNA". It matches the Rfam family "Bacterial small subunit ribosomal RNA", at positions 26 to 495 of the family's 1533-position model. The record is from RNAcentral.